RNAcentral lists this ribosomal RNA (406 nucleotides) under uncultured bacterium. RNAcentral's name for it is "partial 16S ribosomal RNA". It matches the Rfam family "Bacterial small subunit ribosomal RNA", at positions 30 to 526 of the family's 1533-position model. The record is from RNAcentral.
AUUGAACGCUGGCGGCAGGCCUAACACAUGCAAGUCGAACGAGUGGCGGACGGGUGAGUAAUGUCUGGGGAACUGCCCGAUGGAGGGGGAUAACUACUGGAAACGGUGGCUAAUACCGCAUACCAUCGGAUGUGCCCAUAUGGGAUUAGCUAGUAGGUGGGGUAAAGGCUCACCUAGGCGACGAUCCCUAGCUGGUCUGAGAGGAUGACCAGCCACACUGGAACUGAGACACGGCCCAGACUCCUACGGGAGGCAGCAGUGGGGAAUAUUGCACAAUGGGCGCAAGCCUGAUGCAGCCAUGCCGCGUGUAUGAAGAAGGCCUUCGGGUUGUAAAGUACUUUCAGCGAGGAGGCGUUACCCGCAGAAGAAGCACCGGCUAACUCCGUGCCAGCAGCCGCGGUAAUAC